RNAcentral lists this ribosomal RNA (137 nucleotides) under uncultured eukaryote. RNAcentral describes it as "partial 18S ribosomal RNA". It matches the Rfam family "Eukaryotic small subunit ribosomal RNA", at positions 1299 to 1458 of the family's 1831-position model. The record is from RNAcentral.
UGGUGGAGUGAUUUGUCUGGUUAAUUCCGUUAACGAACGAGACCUCGACCUGCUAAAUAGUACAGCGAAUCUCGAUUCGUUUGGACUUCUUAGAGGGACUUUACCUGUCUAGGGUGAGGAGGUUCGAGGCAAUAACA